AAGGUGGGGCGAUCUGCCGCCCGUAAGGGAGGAAAGUCCGGACAGGACAGGGCAUCCCGCUGCGGAAAGCGCAGGUAGGGGUAACCUUACGCCCGUCGUAACAGAAAACAACCGCCUACUCCGUCAUCCCCGACCUGAUCGGGGAUCUCGGAAGGGUAAGGGUGAAAACGCGGGGCAAGAGCCCACGACGCACGGCAGCGAUGUCGCGCGGGUACGACACCGGGACCUGCAAGACCAAAUAUACUGGCAGACGAGGACGGCCCGUCCGAUGCCAGGGGGUAGGUUGCGAAGAUAAAUGGCAGAAAAAACGUGAACAGAAACCGGCUUACGGCUCCACCUUUUCU
Molecule: RNase P RNA, 344 nt
Filed under: Bacteroidales bacterium
Lineage: Bacteria; Pseudomonadati; Bacteroidota; Bacteroidia; Bacteroidales
Description: RNase P RNA component class A
Rfam family: Bacterial RNase P class A
About the family: Ribonuclease P (RNase P) is a ubiquitous endoribonuclease, found in archaea, bacteria and eukarya as well as chloroplasts and mitochondria. Its best characterised activity is the generation of mature 5'-ends of tRNAs by cleaving the 5'-leader elements of precursor-tRNAs.
Source: RNAcentral